Molecule: ribosomal RNA, 253 nt
Filed under: uncultured bacterium
Lineage: Bacteria
Description: partial 16S ribosomal RNA
Rfam family: Bacterial small subunit ribosomal RNA
Source: RNAcentral
UACAGAGGUCCCAAGCGUUGUUCGGAUUCACUGGGCGUAAAGGGUGCGUAGGUGGUGGGGUAAGUCGGAUGUGAAAGCUCGGAGCUUAACUCCGAAAUUGCAUUGGAAACUACCCUGCUAGAGGGUCGGAGGGGGGACUGGAAUACUUGGUGUAGUAGUGAAAUGCGUAGAUAUCAAGUGGAACACCAGUGGCGAAGGCGAGUCCCUGGACGACUCCUGACACUGAGGCACGAAAGCUAGGGGAGCAAACAGG